CCCAAAGUGGGGGACCCGUGGGUUACUGCGGGGCUUCCGUUUACCCCCCAACGGAAGGAAUAAAAAGAGAAAAAGAAAGAGAGGGGGGAAGCAUCCAGAACCCCCUCCCUUUCUCUCGCGCGCUCUCUCCCCUUCUCCCGCUCUCUUCCGCACUCUCUCUCUCUCCCGCUCUCUCUCUUUCCCCCCUCUUUCUGGGUGUGUGUGUUGUGUGUGUGCUGUGAGUGGGGACGGAGAAAAGAAACAGAGGAGGAGGAGGAGGAGGAGAAGAAGAAGAAUAAAAAGGAAAAAAAAAGCUGACCUGAGGUUCUCUCUCUCUCCCAUCAUUGUUCCAAGGAGUAUCGGUGAAGUUUUAGGUAACCUGAUAGAAGAUCACUGCAAGAUUCAGAAAUCAUUUUUGGGGAUCAAAUCUUGGCGUUUUAGGAGUUAUGUAUAGAGGCAAGGCUUGUCUGUAAAAAAUAUUUAUUUUUGGGAUAGUUGUAUCUAAUGAUGUGGUAUAAAACUUGCAUGAUUAUUGUAAAAUUAAAGUUAAAAUUUUUAUACAAUAGUUAGUUGGUCUGUUAUUACCA
Molecule: long non-coding RNA, 566 nt
Organism: Elaeis guineensis (African oil palm)
Lineage: Eukaryota; Viridiplantae; Streptophyta; Magnoliopsida; Arecales; Arecaceae
Source: RefSeq, a predicted model, not a curated record